UCUUUAUUAAUAAUCAAGGCCGGGUAUCGUAUCGAUCUUAGCCUACUAAGUAGUGACUAGUAUUGAAAAUAACAUAUUACAUACGACCUGUCUGACGAUUGCAUCAAUAUAUAUUAAUGUGAAUAAUGAAGAGGCCGGCCGGCCGGCCAGGCUAAGAAAGAUCGAUGAACAGGACUAAUCCAGCAAGCACAGCCCCGACGGCGACGGCAGAUCUCAACCUCACGCAGUCGCUCAUCGGCAAUGGAUCUGGUGCGUGAGGAAAAUGUGGCG
This 270-nucleotide long non-coding RNA is filed under the name Zostera marina. RNAcentral's name for it is "long non-coding RNA (ZMAR_LNC002353)". Lineage: Eukaryota; Viridiplantae; Streptophyta; Magnoliopsida; Alismatales; Zosteraceae. The record is from RNAcentral.